Molecule: ribosomal RNA, 465 nt
Filed under: Vreelandella stevensii
Lineage: Bacteria; Pseudomonadati; Pseudomonadota; Gammaproteobacteria; Oceanospirillales; Halomonadaceae
Description: partial 16S ribosomal RNA
Rfam family: Bacterial small subunit ribosomal RNA
Source: RNAcentral
CCUACGGGAGGCUGUAGUGGGGAAUAUUGGACAAUGGGCGAAAGCCUGAUCCAGCCAUGCCGCGUGUGUGAAGAAGGCCUUCGGGUUGUAAAGCACUUUCAGUGGGGAAGAAAGCCUUGGGGCUAAUACCCUCGAGGAAGGACAUCACCCACAGAAGAAGCACCGGCUAACUCCGUGCCAGCAGCCGCGGUAAUACGGAGGGUGCGAGCGUUAAUCGGAAUUACUGGGCGUAAAGCGCGCGUAGGCGGUCUGAUAAGCCGGUUGUGAAAGCCCCGGGCUCAACCUGGGAACGGCAUCCGGAACUGUCAGGCUAGAGUGCAGGAGAGGAAGGUAGAAUUCCCGGUGUAGCGGUGAAAUGCGUAGAGAUCGGGAGGAAUACCAGUGGCGAAGGCGGCCUUCUGGACUGACACUGACGCUGAGGUGCGAAAGCGUGGGUAGCAAACAGGAUUAGAUACCCGAGUAGUC